RNAcentral lists this ribosomal RNA (251 nucleotides) under uncultured bacterium. RNAcentral describes it as "partial 16S ribosomal RNA". It matches the Rfam family "Bacterial small subunit ribosomal RNA", at positions 525 to 775 of the family's 1533-position model. The record is from RNAcentral.
ACGUAGGUGGCAAGCGUUGUCCGGAAUUACUGGGUGUAAAGGGAGUGUAGGCGGGAUAUCAAGUCAGAAGUGAAAAUUACGGGCUCAACUCGUAACCUGCUUUUGAAACUGACAUUCUUGAGUGAAGUAGAGGCAAGCGGAAUUCCUAGUGUAGCGGUGAAAUGCGUAGAUAUUAGGAGGAACACCAGUGGCGAAGGCGGCUUGCUGGGCUUUUACUGACGCUGAGGCUCGAAAGCGUGGGGAGCAAACAG